RNAcentral lists this ribosomal RNA (468 nucleotides) under uncultured bacterium. RNAcentral describes it as "partial 16S ribosomal RNA". It matches the Rfam family "Bacterial small subunit ribosomal RNA", at positions 28 to 507 of the family's 1533-position model. The record is from RNAcentral.
GACGAACGCUGGCGGCGUGCUUAACACAUGCAAGUCGAGCGGAAAGACGCUGCUUUUGUGGGUUUCUCGAUUGGCGAACGGGGGAGUAAAACAUGAGUAACCUGCCCUUGACUUUGGGAUAACUUCAGGAAACUGGGGCUCAUACCGCAUAGGAGCUCCUGCUGCAUGGUGGGGAUUGGUAAAAUCCGGCGGUUGUGGCUGGACUCGCGGCUUAUGAGCUUGUUGGGGGGGUAGUUGCUUACCAAGGGUGUGACGGGUAGGCUGCCUGAGAGGUUGAACGGCCACAUGGGGCCUGCGAUAGGCCGCAGUAUGCUACGGGCGGCAGUAGGCGAGAGCCUGACAGAGCGGGGCGAAGUGUGAUGCAGAAGUCUUGCGUGCGGGAUGCUCGGCUUUUGGGGGUAAACCGCUUUCGCAGUUGACGAGGCGGGAGUGACGGUACCUGGUAAAGAAGCAACGGCUAACUACGUG